UUCAUUAUUUCUCAAUUAUGCUUCUACAUACACACACGGCAAAUAUAUGUCAACAAUCCUUCCUCCAAAGGACUAUUCUAUGGACUACAUUUUGUGAAAAUGCAUAAAAUCAUGGCCUUUUUUGUUUGGGUUUUGUGAGGAAUCACUCAAUAACGUCACACAUGCUUAUCACAGGUUAUUACCUCGGCUCUGACCUUUUCAUUUACGCUGGACGUCACUCUCCUAUCUGCCUGAAUUCUCUGUCAACGAAGCUGUCACUCCUUGGUUUCCUCGUGUUUUGAAACAACUUCAUAUUUGGCAUAUUACUCUCCCCUCCCUUUCCCUUCCCUGCUUAUCCUGUCCCAUUUGAUCGUUUCAGACUUGUGAAAACUUGUGCAAGUUCCUGCAAGUUUGCUAUUUUCUCAUCCGCGUGCCCCAUCGCGCACAUGUUGAUUUUGUCCAUCCACACGAGAGUGGGGUCUCCGCUAGUUUUAAAGUUGCCCAAGUUAUACAGAGAAAUUGGCAUAGUAGGCAAUGCAACCAAUCACAGCCCUCCUAAUUCAGGAGAGCAGUGUCUAAAAAUGAAGCCAUAUCCUCACUAUAGGAGGGGCGGUAAAAGUAAUACUAUCUACUGAAAAUAUUAAAUAUUGACCAUUUAAUGAGGGAAUAAGAGCUUGAAAAUAAAAUAUGGUUGAAAGAAUCAACCGUACAGAGGCUCUGGGAGGUGAUGUCUGGGGACAGGAAAAUCAGCUCUCCAGAUUCAGAGAUGAACUGUACAUGGCAUGUUCUUGAUGGUGACCUGUCCCUUCCUACCGUGGGAGGCUUUGGCUAAGCAGGGCUCAUUUCCUCCACAGUUGCAGCCAUUGGUUAGUUCUCCGGUUUGUUAGUAAUAACGCUUGUUUGUUUGUUUUCCAUGGGGUUUACAGGGAGGGAAUAAGUUCCCACAUCUUAUUCUCUGCCCCUUCUCCAAUCCCCCUCCUCCUCUUUCUUGCCUCCUAGCGCUUCAGCAGAGAUGGAAAACCUGUCCCAGACUCUCAGCAAGAGGGUCACACACACAUUACAUUGAUCCAUGACAACUGGGCAUGGCAUUCUGAUUUCACCUUCCUUAGAGGCCGCUCCAGCAGACACAAUGCUAUAUAAGGCCUUGGAUGCACUGCACUGCAUUGGAUGUACUGUAUGAUUACACAGGAGUGAGGGACAAAGUGCUUGAAGUAAGUGGAGACUGCCAGGUCGGAGGUCUAUUUACGCUAAAUCCUUUUUAAUUUUUCCUUUCUAAGAGGGCCCGGGUUGCUCAACAUGACUUGUCUCCUUGAACCGGAGUCCAACACUAACAUGCCUAUUUAUUGUCUGCUUGUGGUCUGGGGCCAGGAAGUGAGGGGAGAUUUCGGCGUAGAGGGCACAGGACACGUCCUCCCCCUGAACACCCCUCCAGCUUCUACCUCAACAUGGGGUCACGCCCAGGGAGGAAAAACUUCACCCCUUGCCCUUUACUGUCAGAAUGGACCGCUCUCCAGGUGGUGGCUGCAUGACCAGAGCCCUAGGACCAUGCCUCAGGACUACCUGGCCUGAUGACUCCUUGCUGUCCCCAGUCCACCUGGCCGUGCUGCUGCUCCAGCUGUUCUGCCUGUGGCUGUGGAACCCUGACCUGUUCACCGGACAUGCUACCUGUCUCAGACCUGCUGUUUUCAACUCUCUAGAGACAGCAGGAGUGGUAGAGAUACUCUUAAUGAUUGGCUAUGAAAAGCCAACUGACAUUUACUCCUGAGGUGCUGACCUGUUGCAACAUCCACUGUGAUUAUUAUUAUUUGACCAUGCUGGUCAUUUAUGAACAUUUGAACAUCUUGGCCAUGUUCUGUUAUAAUCUCUACCCGGCACAGCCCGAAGAGGACUGGCCACCCCUCAUAGCCUGGUUCUUCUCUAGGUUUCUUCAUUGGUUCUGGCCAUUCUAUGGAGUUUUACCUAGCCACAGUGCUUGUACACCUGCAUUGCUUGCGGUUUGGGGUUUUAGGCUGUGUUUCUGUACAUCACUUUGAGAUAUCAUCUGAUGUAAGAAGGGCUUUAUAAAUACAUUUGAUUUGAUGAUUUAACCAUGUACACAUCAGCAACCACAGCUAAUGAUGUGACUGAAAACCUUAGAAAAGAGUUGCAGUCUGUUUUGGAACGGGUGGCCAGUAAUAAACUGGUCCUUAACAUCUCUAAAUCUAAGAGCAUUGUAUUUGGUACAAAUCAUUCCCUAAAUUCUAUAAUGUAGUAAUGAAUAGUGUGGCUGUUGAACAAGUUGAGGAGACUAAAUUACUUGGUGUUACCUUGGAUUGUAAACUGUCAUGGUCAAAACAUAUAGAUUCAAUGGUUGUAAAGAUGGGCGGGUCUGUCCUUAAAGAGAUGCUCAGCUUUUUUGACACCACACUCCAAAGAAAGUGCUGCAGGCUCUAGUUUUAUAUUAUCUUGAUUAUUGUCCAGUUUUAUGGUCAAGUGCUACAAAUUAAGACCUAGUAAAGAUGCAGCUGACCCAGAACAA
Oncorhynchus keta (chum salmon) is the source of this 2497-nucleotide long non-coding RNA. RefSeq lists it as uncharacterized. The transcript has 3 exons. The record is from RefSeq and is a predicted model, not a curated record. Lineage: Eukaryota; Metazoa; Chordata; Actinopteri; Salmoniformes; Salmonidae.